Molecule: long non-coding RNA, 1022 nt
Filed under: Drosophila guanche
Lineage: Eukaryota; Metazoa; Arthropoda; Insecta; Diptera; Drosophilidae
Source: RNAcentral
AAUCGAUUAAAUAAUUAGAAAAUUGUGAAAAUUACUGUAAUUUGGAAAUCAAUUCGUUGCAUGCCACCACGCGGGAUUCAUCAUGGGCCAGCGAUCGAUCGGGUGUCAAACAUCAGUCCUCAGUCUCCAGUCCUCAGUCCUCAGUCUCCAGUCAGAGCAUAAAUAAUCGCAUUAUAAUAAAAUAAUGCAAUGCCCACGAAGGAUGCCGAAGAAGCCCAAGUUCGUCUUGGCCCACUCCAGAUUCAAUUUAAAUGGAAAACACUUUCCUAUCGAGUCGCUCCAAUUAAUAUUCGCUGCGUGCCGCGAUCACCGCGAGCUGAUAAAGUGCGGCUCAUAUAUUUUGUCAUAAAUUUCAAGCGCGCUCGACAGCUGCUCGGACUCAUCAAUCAGCCCCAGUGGCAGUCCUCGUCCCAGUCCUGUCGGACACAUCGGACGUGGAGCGUGCGGACUUUGGCAAACACUCGAUUAAAAUCAACUUCAAUUUGUAAUAAAUCAAAAGUCCUAUCAAAACCAUAUCCAACGAAUACCGAAAGAAACGAGGCACCCAAAAGGGUUCCUCCUCCUCCUCUCUGUCCAGGCCAAUGAAGAAAUUUGCAGCGUUCUUCUGCAUCCCGAUCGUGUGGCAAUGGAUCCAGGCUCGGACCUGUAUGAUGAAUGGUUAUUGAUUCGACGGAAUCGCAGGCUUCUCUGAAAGGAGCAGCUCUGCUCCACUGCACUCUGUGUCCGCCAAUAAAAUCACGUUCCAGCUUUGGGAGUAACUCCGAAAUCACUAUAUCCAGAGUUGGGCCGGACACAGCGCACUUUUGGUAGUGAAAUAUUACAUUUUAUAGACAUUUCUCAUAACUAAUUGCAGAUGAAAUGGAAACCAUGACCAAAAGUCAAGCGAUCAAAAAACCAACUCCUGACCCGCACUAAUCAGCCUUAAAGCCUUCCUCUGUGCACACACUUAUCCCAUGGCCCAUGGGACUCACUUCUCUCAGCUUAUCCCAGCCACUCUGGAUGAAUGGACGGAUGGAUGGAUG